This 5426-nucleotide long non-coding RNA is filed under the name Setaria italica (foxtail millet). Its description in RNAcentral is "long non-coding RNA (SITA_LNC002974)". The record is from RNAcentral. Lineage: Eukaryota; Viridiplantae; Streptophyta; Magnoliopsida; Poales; Poaceae.
UGGUGCCUGAGGCGCUGGGCCUUGGCAACUGGGUGAAGGCGCAGGAGUGGGCGGCCGUCCCCGGCGGGCAGGCCACAUACCUGGGCAACCCGGUGCCGUGGGGCACGCUGCCCACCAUCCUGGUGAUCGAAUUCGUGGCCAUCGCCUUCGCCGAGCACCAGCGCACCAUGGAGAAGGACCCCGAGAAGAAGAAGUACCCCGGCGGCGCCUUCGACCCGCUCGGCUUCUCCAAGGACCCCGUCAAGUUCGAGGAGUACAAGCUCAAGGAGAUCAAGAACGGUGAGUCUCCUGGUUUUGUGUACUAUAUGAUCUCGUUGUUGUAGUGACAGCCUCCCACUCCAUUGAUCAUACGCUAACCACUGGGCAUCGUCUAAACGAUUGUGCAUGAUGAUGAGCAGGCCGGCUUGCGAUGUUGGCGUUCGUGGGGUUCUGCGUGCAGCAGUCGGCGUACCCCGGCACCGGGCCGCUGGAGAACCUGGCUACCCACCUCGCCGACCCGUGGCACAACAACAUCGGCGACAUCAUCAUCCCCAGAACGAUCUACCCUUGAGCUGAGAUGAUUGUGAGAGAAGAGGAUGAGACGAGACAGGAGAUGGGGCUGUGCUGGGAGUGUGGAUGAUGUUCUAUGUGUGUGAUUGGUUGGUUACUGGGCACUGCCUGCGUGCGUGCAGGAACUGUACAACGAACAACGACGGCGACUUUCCGGCCGGCCGGGAACCCCUUAUAAUGUAAAGCUUAUUAUUAUUAAGUAGCGGCUACCCUUAUGAAUCCACCCAAGUUUUGUGCCAAAACCAAACUAUAGCUUUGCUAUGUUCCCCAUUGUUUUGCCGAAGGGCAAAUCAGAGGAAGUUCAGCGUGUGUUUGAUUUGGGAUCAAAUGAGAUGUGUUGGAUUCAUCCUACUUUUCUUGGUCAGGUUCAAUCCGUCUUGUGUUUGGUUGGGAGGGAUGUGUCCAUCUUGGUUUUUUUGAAAGGUGAGAUUUAAUACCGUUAACCACGGUUAAUCUCAUCUGUCAUCCAUGGAUCUCAUGUGCCAUCCUAAUUUCCCUUACAUUUGUUUUCUUUUAGCCUGCCUUAUCUUCUUGUGACGCUUCCUCAACGCGCCCUCCUUCACCAUGUCACCUCUCUAUUGUGCCAUCCUCCCCUGCCGCCCUCCUGUAAUACCCCGUCCUCCAAAGCUGCACCGCCCAACCCUUUUGAGGGGCGGGCACGCAUAUACAUAUCAUCCUACUUACACUUUUGUCGUCGCUUUGUGUAAAAGAUUUAACCCGAAGGUGCUAUGGCUGGUGGACAGAGGUUUAUAAGUUAGCUCCACCUUGCUCAACUAGCAAGGUGGUACUAAACAUGCGCACCUAUGCUCAUGGGCCACUACUGGGCCAUCCAAAAUUGGACCGGGUGCUACAUACACCCCCCUCAAAGAACCCGACGUCCUCGUUGGUCCAACUCACCCACACUUAGCGCACGACCGUACGUCCAUUGCCGGCGCCAUAUGUCAUGCCGUGUGUCCCAUCUAAAGCCCACACACGACAUGCGUCAUAUGCCUGCACACUGACCCGUACGCGCAACCGCAAGGGUUAGCUCUGAUACCACUUGUAACACUCCGUUCUCCAAAGCUGUCCCGCCCAAACAUUACGAGAGGGCGGGCACAUGUACACAUAGCACUGUACUUACACUUUCGUUCUUGUUUCGUAUAAAAGGGUUAACCCAAAGGUGCUAUGGCUUGUGGUCAAAGGCUUAUAAGUUGGUUCUGCUCUUGCUCAACUAACAAAGUGGUACUAAAUAUGCAUACCUGCGCUCAUAGGUCACUACUGAGCCAUCCAAAUUUGAGCCGGGUGUCACAUCUCCACUCCUCACACCUCUCCACCCUGUUCCUCCACAGCAUCGGCCGCUGUAGCUCGUGCCCCCAAUACACCUCGGGCUGGUCCCAACUCACUCAGGCAGAGCUUGCCCCACCUAGCGGCGGAGCUCUGCAUCUACACGAUAUUUUCCCUUCGAGGUAUGUCCCAACCCACAUGAAUCUCCGUCCAAACGGUGAUCCAUUUGGAUCUGACCUGUCCCAUCCAGUUCAACCUUCAAACCAAACGCAUGCUUAAUUUUGAAAUAGGGAAAAUUUGUAUGAGACUUGAGCACCUGGUGAUGGUUGCUUUUACAUAGAAACUAAAUACGCACAUCGAAUCUAUUAUGAGAUACAGGAAGACAAAGGCAGUUUUCUCCCAAAUUUCUUUCCCAUCCAUUUGUUCUGAAUCAUCAUGAUCAAGUGCUUCUAACUGAUGAGGUUGUAUACCUAAGGGCCAAUAUAUACGUAGGGUGAUUUUUUUUCAAAAAUAAAGGAAUAGUAAAUAUUCUUGACUUCUUUUCUUCUUUUUAAUCAAGAAACGUAUACUUCCUUUGUCAUCCUAAAUUAUAGGUCGUUUUGGUAUUUAUAGAUUCAUAGCUUUUACUAUGUAUCUAGACAUAGUAUACAUUUAGAUGCAUAACAAAAGCUAUACACCUAGAAACAUUAAAACGACCUACUUCCUCCGUCCCAAAAACAAGUCAUUCUAGAAAUUUUAGGACAUAUUAACAAGAGGUAAAAUGAUCUUGAUUGGCCCUAUUUAUUAGCUAUAUUUGGUGCUAAUUAACUGUUGUAUUCCUACUGCACACAUGCUAAAAUUGUGUAUAAUGAUCGAAAAUUGCAUCGUGGAAUUUGCAAUAAUGCGAUGACGACAGGAAUUGAAUGAAAAGAUCAGAAAAAAUUCGAAUAAAUACAAUGCAAGUAAAAGUUCAUAGAUUCAUGAUUCAUUGGACAAAUUUUAAAUCGCAGAAUGAUUUUUUUGGACGGAGAGAGUACAAUUUAGGAUGGAUGGAGUAGCUACUAAGAAACACUAACAUAGCGUCGAGGUGAGAUAUUAUCCCGAGAGGCGGAGACAGAGAUUGACAAUAAUGAAAGUGGCCAAAAAAUGCCGCAAGGUUCAACACGCACGCCGGAUAGAGAUAAAGGCCGGGCGGACCCGUCAUGGCUCGCCUCGCCCAAGGGAACCAAACUGGCACCAACAGAAUACACGCCUUCAAAAUGGAGGCCUCUCUUCUAUAUAUCGCCGUUGAUAUUCGCCAGCGACCAACCAAACUUUCACAACGAACUGGCCGGAAAGAAGAUGGACAUGGACCUGCCGGUCGGGCCGACGUUGUCGUCGGCCGUCGGUGCUGGCGCCGGCAGCUCAUUGCGGGCGUGGUCGGUGCGCGCCGGCAUCGGCCGCGAGGUGGACGGUCUCGCCGCGGUUCUUGAUGAGACCAAGCUGGUCCUCAGCUUGGCACGCGGGAAGGAGGAGCCGGAGAACAAGGCGUUGGAGGGAUUCUUCAGGGAGCUAGACUACGAGGUGUUCGACGUGGACACCCUCGUCAACGAGCUGGAGGACCGCCGCCGCAUACGGACCGAGGUGGUGGAACCGUGGAAGCAGCUGCUGAGGAGGCCGUCGCUGGGUGGCAGGUUAGUCACAUCGUCAGAAAAUAGAGAUUUUGGAUUCCCCCUUUCUACGAAGAAAAUGGAGAGAUCAAAUCAAACGGGCAUUUGGGUUUAUGAUCUUCACAAGAAACAUGGAUGGAUGAUGCAGAAACCAAAGAAAAUAAGUUUGGACACAUGAUGACACGGUCUCAUCCUUUUGUCGCUAUUUUCUAGUAAAAUAAAAGGUUAUCAAAAUAUUUUCCAGGAUAAAUCUACAAACAAGGUUUUUGAAGUUUUCAAACUAUGGUAGUCCUUGCGGAUCAGUUAAACCGGGUUUGGCACUGCAUGCUUCAGCUCUGGUCCUCCAUGUGCGCCAUUGCAUGCGUCAGUAAACAUGGUGGCGGUUGCGGACGGUAGCUUCCUCCUCUAUUGGUAUUUCCAUAUGGUACUGUAUAUUUUGGGUUUGCAGUCUUCACUCUUCAGUCUCCUUGGUCUGCCUAGUUCAGUUAAUUUGUGAUGCUUCCCGCACGUGUGGUGUUGGAUCAGAUGGUAAUUCAGGCUCUCAGUUAGUUUCUGCCAAAUUUGAUUUCGGACUCAGUUGUAUUAUUGCAAGAAACUUGUGUUAUAUUAAACUUCUUAAUCGGACAUGUUGGAUGUUCCAGAUCCCAAACUUCAAGUUAACUAGAGAAAUGCUGUCGGCAUUAUUGGAAUAAAAUGCAGCUAGCACUUAGGCUUAAACAAGAGCACAUUGUUUUCUCUCUUCCUUUUCUUUCGUUGAGAAAAUUUGUAUAUGCAAGCAUCUAUUUAUUUCUUCUUUUUAAUUUUAUUUCUAGUACUUGGGUAACCAUACUGAGUGAAUGGCAUGCAGGCCUCGGCAGACGAAGCUAGGUUGUUCAGAUGGAACAAACUGUGAUGUAUUUCAGCAGAACAGCUCUAAUACUGACCCAUCAGCCUCAGAUUCAUCAGAACUUCAGCUCGUAACGUACAAAGAAGAAGCAAAAUCUUUGAUGCCUGGGGUGGAACUAGACAACAAGGAUGACAUCCUACGUAGGAUAUCACAUCAUGUCAAUCCGCUCAGUCAAAUGCAACAUUAUGCACGCAAAGCUCUCAGACAUGAGGAGCUUGACUUGCUUGCUCUCUGAAUGAAAUCUGCUGCAGACACGGACUUGAGACAACUCCUUUGGUCCCUGAACCCAGAAUCUAUGGCAGAGACAGGAGGAUUUGUCGGUCUUCGCAGUUGUUGGUAACGGUGGUGUUGGCAAGACCACAUAAGCUCGUGUUCUAUACAAUGACGAGAUAGUCGCCCGCAACAGUUAUAGAAAGCCACCUGUCUAUGACGUGUCCACAUCAGCUAUAGGUAAUAAUUGUAGACUAGUUACUAAACAGAUCAGCUAUAUCAUUUAUUUCAAAAUUUAGUGGGUCCCACGCGCCAGGAUUUCUUUAAUCCUUCCCUCCUCUCUCUCUUCCCUUUCCAUCCUCUCCCUUCCUGUCUUCCCCACCUCCCCUAUCCCGGCAGCACGCCUUCACCUUCGUCCGCUGCUGCUCGCCGGUGGGCCGCGCCCUAAGCCAGCGGGCCGCUUCUCCUUUGCGUUACUGCGUGGCGGCGCUGAGGCCAAGCUCCGUCCCUGGAUGGAGUCCGCCCACGACAGCGGCCAUGCUCCGGUGGCCCCGCACCUGGCCUCCGCCGCAGGCACCCCCGCCAGCAUGCACGCAUGUGGCGCCACUCCCGGCCUCCACUGCGGCCACGCCCGCGGUCAUGUGCGCAAGCGGCACCACUCCCGACCUCCGCCGCCAGCCGCGCCGUCUGCAUGCGCACUAGCGGCCGAGCAGCGCUCCACCAGCUCCAUGCCCGCGCCCGCCGCCCAGCCUCCUCCCUCAUCGUACAGGGUGCCGGUGGCUGAGCCCCGCCUUCCCUCCUCGUAGUGCCGGAGGCCGCAACUUGCCCCCUCCCCACUAGGCCACCACGCUCCUCACCUUUGCUUCUGACAGCGCCCACACACACGCAGG